CCUACGUGAGGCAGCAGUGAGGAAUAUUGGUCAAUGGGCGGAAGCCUGAACCAGCCAAGUAGCGUGCAGGAUGACGGCCCUACGGGUUGUAAACUGCUUUUAUACGGGAAUAACGCGCCUUACGUGUAGGGCUUUGCAUGUACCGUAUGAAUAAGGACCGGCUAAUUCCGUGCCAGCAGCCGCGGUAAUACGGAAGGUCCGGGCGUUAUCCGGAUUUAUUGGGUUUAAAGGGAGCGUAGGCCGCAUGUCAAGCGUGCUGUGAAAUGUCCGGGCUCAACCCGGGACUUGCAGCGCGAACUGGCGAGCGUGAGUCCGCGGAAGGCAGGCGGAAUUCGUGGUGUAGCGGUGAAAUGCUUAGAUAUGACGAAGAACCCCGAUUGCGAAGGCAGCUUGCUGCAGCGGAACUGACGCUGAUGCUCGAAAGCGCGGGUAUCGAACAGGAUUAGAUACCCUGGUAGUC
RNAcentral lists this ribosomal RNA (460 nucleotides) under uncultured bacterium. RNAcentral's name for it is "partial 16S ribosomal RNA". It matches the Rfam family "Bacterial small subunit ribosomal RNA", at positions 338 to 795 of the family's 1533-position model. The record is from RNAcentral.